UCCGAUUUGUCACCGGCAGUCUCCCAUGAGUCCCCGACAUUACUCGCUGGCAACAUGAGAUAGGGGUUGCGCUCGUUGCGGGACUUAACCCAACAUCUCACGACACGAGCUGACGACAACCAUGCAGCACCUCUGCUGGCUCCCUUGCGGGUCAGUCUCUGUUUCCAAAGACUUACACCAGUAGUUCAAGCCCAGGUAAGGUUCUUCGCGUUGCGUCGAAUUAAACCACAUGCUCCACCGCUUGUGCGGGCCCCCGUCAAUUCCUUUGAGUUUCACCCUUGCGGCCGUACUCCCCAGGCGGCUCAUUUAAUGCGUUAGCUGCGCCACUGACGAGCAUGCUCGCCAACGGCUAGCCUCCAUCGUUUACGGCGUGGACUAC
RNAcentral lists this unclassified non-coding RNA (379 nucleotides) under uncultured bacterium. Its description in RNAcentral is "contains 16S-23S intergenic spacer region". The record is from RNAcentral.